Molecule: long non-coding RNA, 1143 nt
Filed under: Homo sapiens (human)
Lineage: Eukaryota; Metazoa; Chordata; Mammalia; Primates; Hominidae
Description: uncharacterized LOC100507547, transcript variant 1 (LOC100507547)
Source: RNAcentral
GGGGACUUGUUCUCUAGGUCCAGGAUCUUCCUAAUGCAUCGCCUCAGCCAUGAACAACGCGGAGUUCUUUAAUACCCGUGAGCAGCAGCCCAGGCCCCUUGAAGAGUGCAGACUCCCACCUGGCCUGGGUCCGUAGGCCUCGCUCCACCCGCUGUUUACUUAUCCCAAGUCUGGAACCCACGGUGGCGGGGGGAAGGGCGUCUGGCUCCGCAGCAGAACACGAAGUUUGCAUUCCCCAAGGGGCGGCCAGGGGGCGGACCAGGGAAAGUCCGCCCCAGGUCAGCGACUUACAACUCUUCAUUCUGAAGUGCGUGUAGUGCCCUUGUCUCCAGAGACGCAGAGAGUCCUCGAGGCCCCUUGAGCUAAGUGCAGCCUGGCCCAGUUUCUCCUGCCCUACUCUACUCCCCUCCCUAUAAGCGACCCACCCUCAAGGGGCGGAGGGCGCGUAGGGAUGCGCUGACUCAUGCCCGCGUAAUUUCGACCAGUCUUUCAACCUGAACGACCCCCAGAAUCUGGCUGUCUGAGUUAUCUGUGGGUGGCUCCCUACCGAAACCCCCAGGCGCCCCACCUCUCCGCCUGUGACCCCUAACCGACACCCUAGUGCCUCAGGGCUUUUACUUGCUAGGGCUUUUACUUAGCAUUUAAAGACGUUUCUCUAGAGAUAAGGAUUUCUCAGCAUGUCUGAGCCCCUCUCUCUGUUUACAAGGUCAUUGCUUGGUCUAAAUUUGUCUCAAUCAAAACAUUUUUGCGCUCAGAAUGGUGUAGAGUGACGAUGAGGUGGCGGUAAGGGGUUGAGCGCUCACGCGAACGCCUAAGUGACCAGAACGACUGGUGUGAAGCCGUGAUCUGACUCUGUGGAGCCUGGGACUGGUUUCAGCGAGAGCCUCUGUACUGCUCUGUAGUCUCUGCUAGGACAUGGACGAAAAGGGACGCAGCCGGGAGAGCGACUGCCCCAGGUGGGGGCUGGGGGGACGUAAGGGAAGAAUAAUAAUUAUCUGGCUGUGUUUUUGUUUAAAAAAAAAAAAAAACUGGUGUAAAUCUCCAUAGACUUCCUAUCCUCGCUCCCUUCACCCACCCACGCGCUCCCAAGAUGCAAUAAGCAAAUAAAAAGACUAAUAACGCUGUAAAAAAAAAAAAAAAAAA